UUGUUAAGGUAGCAUAGUAAUUAGCUCUUUAAUUAAGAGAUUGAAUGAAAGAAAAAAUUAAAAUAAAUAUUUUUUAUUUUCAAUGUGUUGAAUUUUAGUUUAAGUGAAAAUUCUUAAAUAAUUUUUUAAGGCGACAAGACCCUAUGAACCUUUAUUUUUUAUAGCAAAUUUAAAAUCUAUUUGGGGAAAAAAUUAAUUUUUAUAUUAAAACUAUUAAAUAAUUUGAUCUUUAUUAAAAAUUGUGAAGAAGGUACUCUAGGGAUAACAGCGUUAUAGUUAAUAAAGCUCUUAUUUAAAUAACUGUUUGUGACCUCGAUGUGAAU
This 323-nucleotide ribosomal RNA is filed under the name Acartia clausii. Its description in RNAcentral is "partial 16S ribosomal RNA". The record is from RNAcentral. Lineage: Eukaryota; Metazoa; Arthropoda; Copepoda; Calanoida; Acartiidae.